RNAcentral lists this long non-coding RNA (518 nucleotides) under Panax ginseng (ginseng). RNAcentral's name for it is "long non-coding RNA (PGIN_LNC013967)". The record is from RNAcentral. Lineage: Eukaryota; Viridiplantae; Streptophyta; Magnoliopsida; Apiales; Araliaceae.
UCUAAUAAAGCACCCUGAGCUUCUUUCCUGCCUGCAAGAGAUACUUUAGCCGAUAAAUAAUUCAUAGUUUGACCAUUUUCAGAUUCAACAACUGUUUUCCUACGAUAGAAUCUAGGGUUUUGGCUAAUGUGGAAUGAUCCAUUUGCCCAAAGAGUGAUCUUUGAUGAUCCAAGGUUGUUCUCCAUUAAAUUAAAACAAACCCAUUUGAGAAUACAUGGUAAUUUAUAUUUCUGAAAAUGGGUCAUGACUACUUUGGAUAAAUUUGCAGAGUAUUAUUAAAUAGAGAACAAAGGGGACACUUUCUGAGCUUUUUUAGUUUAUAUUUAUAUCUAGAAGCUCCUUAAUUCAGUGCUUACCUUAAGCUCUGAAGAGGUUUUAGGCCUUGGUAUCCGAGGAGAAAGAUAGAGAGCUCCAACUGUUGAUGUCCUUCAGAUGAUGCCAAUUCGGCGGCGGCCAUUAGAGGAGCCAAAUUUUUCCAGAGGGGUUUAAAGGAAAUCAAGUUUUUGGUGGGGGUAAUA